Non-coding RNA from Cinara cedri, 2100 nucleotides. The record is from the annotation of a GenBank genome assembly. NCBI's taxonomy places the organism in Eukaryota, Metazoa, Arthropoda, Insecta, Hemiptera, Aphididae.
UUUGACUUGUAUUGGAUUUACUUACAUCUAUAAGCAAAUAUUUUCAAAUAUAGACUUUAUUAAGAAUAAAUUAAGAAGCCAACUGAAUGAUAUCAGUCUUGAUACUUGUUUGAAGUUGAAAACUACAGAUUACUCUCCAAAUUUUAAUAAACUAUGUGCACAAAUUCAGUGUCGAAAAUCCCACUAAUUAAGCAGGUAUGUUUUUUUUAUUUUUGUGUCUUAUUGUGUCUAAUCAAAUAAUAUAUUUGUAUAAACAAUAAUAACAAUGUAAUAAAUAAUAAUUGAUGAAAUAAAUUUUUUCUAAAUUUAAGACGUAUUAUUAUAAUUUUAAUGCUUACUAAUUGCAAUUUCUCAAUGAAGUAAUAAUACAACAACUACGACAAAAAAAAAUAUUGUUCAAACCUAUGGGGUUCUCUGGACAUGGAUCUUUCCUACGGAAAGGUUCCUGACCCCUUUAGACUAUGGUAGCAAUAUGAUGUAAUCCCUUAUAUGGUUAUGUCAAUGGAGAAAAGUCUGCUAAAUUACUUGUGGCAGUCAACUUGUAAAACGUGUUAAAUAUUCAAAAAAAUAUACACUAAUUGAAAUAUUGAGUGUUCAACGACCAAAAAAUCUAUUUGUGUACGAUUGUUCGUCCAUUUUGAAAUUCACUAAAUUUCGGGACUAUUUAAUCCUCAUUAUGGGAAAUGUGCAUUUUCGUUUUGUUUUGGCUUCCCUACUCUCAUCUCUAUCCGAUCCGCGGAUCUCGUCGACGACGCGAGACGACUGAACAACAGAACGCUGCGAGCGUUUCGAACAAUCGUCCGGGUUCACCCUAGGGGAAUAUUAUUAUUAUAAUUCACUGGCAAUCUAUAUUCAUGCAAUGUCAAAAACUUGUAUUCAACUCGUGUUCAUAAUAAUAGUAGGUAUAAUAUUGUAUACUAUAUUAUAUACUGCUCGCCAAUAACAAAAGUUAUCAUAUUUUCGAUUAGAAUAUUUAAAUAAUAUCCACAAUAAUAUCAGAGUUCAAUUAUUUAGAUAUAUGAUAUUUACGGUGAUACUAUUAUUUUAAUAUUAUCACCUUCUUGUGGUAAUUAUAUGAGUCUCUGGUCAGUAGUGAAGCAAUAAGAAUAAUAUUCUAAAAACAGUUUUGAACAUUUCGAUCAUAUAUAGUUUAAUAUUCGAAAUUGACUUUCCCGCGUUAUUGAUUUGUUUUUCGAAAAUUAUUUAAAUUUUCGAUAAAAUAUUUUAGAUUUUGAAUGAAGUGAAUAAUGUAUUAGUUUGAACGUGAUAACCUAAUCUGUAAGCAGCUAUGCUUAUAUUGGUAAUGUAGGUUGAAACAUGAAUGGUAGUAACAAUAGUGUAGCCAAAUCAUUAUAAAAAUAUGAAUAAAAAUAUAUAGCAAUACCUAUGCAUAUACUUAUAUGUUCAUUUUAUGUAACAUUUUCCAGGUUUUUUAGGGCCGUUAAAUUUAAUAAAAAAAGUGGGAAUAAGUAGGCUCCAAUUUAAUAGGUUUAUAUUUAAGUAGAAAGUUUAACUUAAGUUUAAAUGAAACAAAUUUUUUGAAACAGACAUGUUAUUUUACCUGGAUACAAGUACCCAAAAUCUAAGUCAAUCUUAUGUUUGAAAAAUAAUAAAAACAAAACUUUAUUAAAAUAUAUUUAAUUUAAGUCAAUUAAAUAAUUAACUGAUUCUGUAUAUCAACUAACAAGGAUUUUUCAAUGCUAGAUAAACAUUUAUAAUGUUUGUGUUUUUUUUGUUGUGUGUAUUUAAUCGAAAUUUUGCAAUUUCUUUCCAAAGGUUUUUGAAGAAUAUUGUCUAAAUUCAACAUUAUUUUUCAGCCAAUUCAGAGAAGGCCAAAGAAUCUAAAAUAAGUAAGUCACCCCCCAUAAGGGACAUCCCUUCGUCAAAUGGAUCACAUCAUGCAAUGUGACGGAUGCAGACGUCCACAUAAGCCUUCAGUUGAGCGGUCUGGGAAAGAUCGUUGGACACACUAUAAUUGAUAUCGAGGCUAGCAUCUCGAAUUGGAUAAUAAAAGAAACUGUGUUGAAGUUGGACAAGAGACUUAGAGACUUAGACCUAGUUAUUAUAGUAUAAUUCCUACUAACUAAAAUCAUGGCCGAU